GGCGAUCGGCCACACUGGGACUGAGAUACGGCCCAGACUCCUACGGGAGGCAGCAGUAGGGAAUAUUGCACAAUGGACGAAAGUCUGAUGCAGCAACGCCGCGUGGAUGAUGAAGCUCCUUGGAGUGUAAAACCCUGUCAGUGGGGAAGAAACGUGUUGGGAGUAACUGCCCUUCACCUGACGGUACCCACAGAGGAAGUCCCGGCUAACUCCGUGCCAGCAGCCGCGGUAAUACGGGGGGGACAAGCGUUGUUCGGAUUCACUGGGCGUAAAGGGCGCGUAGGCGGACCCUCAAGUCGGGUGUGAAAACUGGCGGCUUAACUGCCAGCCUGCACUCGAUACUGGUGGUCUUGAGUACAGUAGAGGAAAGCGGAAUUCCAGGUGUAGCGGUGAAAUGCGUAGAUAUCUGGAAGAACACCAGUAGCGAAGGCGGCUUUCUGGGCUGAUACUGACGCUGAAGCGCGAAGGCUUGGGUAGCAAACAGGAUUAGAUACCCUGGUAGUCCAAGCGGUAAACGAUGGGUACUAGGUGUCGGGGGUAUCGACCCCUUCGGUGCCGCAGCUAACGCAUUAAGUACCCCGCCUGGGGAGUACGAUCGCAAGAUUGAAACUCAAAGGAAUUGACGGGGGCCCGCACAAGCGGUGGAGUAUGUGGUUUAAUUCGAGGCAACGCGAAGAACCUUACCUGGGUUUGACAUGCUUGAGACAGCCGGUGAAAGCCGGUUUCCCUUCGGGGCUCUUGCACAGGUGCUGCAUGGCUGUCGUCGGCUCGUGCCGUGAGGUGUUGGGUUAAGUCCCGCAACGAGCGCAACCCUUGUCCAUAGUUGCCAUCAGGUAAUGCUGGGAACUCUAUGGAGACUGCCGGUGAUAAGCUGGAGGAAGGUGGGGAUGACGUCAAGUCCUCAUGGCCCUUAUAUCCAGGGCUACACACGUACUACAAUGGUCGGUACAGAAGGUCGCAAUACCGUGAGGUGGAGCCAAUCCUGAAAACCGGCCCCAGUUCGAAUUGGAGUCUGCAACUCGACUCCAUGAAGUCGGAAUCGCUAGUAAUCGCUGAUCAGCAAGCAGCGGUGAAUACGUUCCCGGGCCUUGUACACACCGCCCGUCAAGCCACGGAAGUUGGGAGCACCCGAAGUCGUUUGCCUAACCGCAAGGAAGGCGAUGCCUAAGGUGAAACCAGUGACUGGGGCUAAGUCGUAACAAGGUA
Molecule: ribosomal RNA, 1206 nt
Filed under: metagenome
Description: bacterial SSU rRNA
Rfam family: Bacterial small subunit ribosomal RNA
Source: RNAcentral